UUCGUUAUGAAGAGUUUGAUCCUGGCUCAGGAUAAACGUUGGCGACGUAUUUUAUGCAUGCAAGUCGAACGGUUCUUCGGAACCGUGGCGAACGGGUGAGUAACACGUAGGCACCUGCCCAGAAGUGGGGGACAACCCUCCUAACGGAGGACUAAUACCCCAUGUGAUCUUCGGAUCAAAGCCUUAGGGCGCUUCUGGAUGGGCCUGCGGCGGAUUAGCUUGUCGGUGAGGUAACGGCUCACCGAGGUGACGAUCUGUAGCUGGUCUGAGAGGACGAACAGCCACACAGGGACUGAGACACGGCCCUGACUCCUUAGGGGGGCAGCAGCAAAGAAAUUUGCGCAAUGGACGAAAGUCUGACGCAGUAACGUCGCGUGGGGGAUGAAGGCCUUCGGGUUGUAAACCCCUUUUAUGAGUGAAGAAGAUCUGACGGUAACUCAUGAAUAAGUCACGGCUAACUACGUGCCAGCAGCCGCGGUAAUACGUAGGUGGCAAACGUUGUCCGGAUUCACUGGGCGUAAAGCGCGCGCAGGCGGAUUGGUAAGUCGAUUAGGUGAAAUCUCCAGGCUCAACUUGGAGAGGCCCUGCGAUACUGCCAAUCUAGAGGCACCUAGAGGAGAGUGGAAUUAACAGUGGAGGGGUGGAAUCCGUAGAUAUUGUUAGGAACACCAGUGGCGAAAGCGGCUCUCUGGGGGUGUACUGACGCUGAGGCGCGAAAGCGUGGGGAGCGAACGGGAUUAGAUACCCCGGUAGUCCACGCCGUAAAC
RNAcentral lists this ribosomal RNA (767 nucleotides) under Dehalococcoidia bacterium. RNAcentral describes it as "bacterial SSU rRNA". It matches the Rfam family "Bacterial small subunit ribosomal RNA", at positions 1 to 807 of the family's 1533-position model. The record is from RNAcentral. Lineage: Bacteria; Bacillati; Chloroflexota; Dehalococcoidia.